Molecule: ribosomal RNA, 478 nt
Filed under: uncultured bacterium
Lineage: Bacteria
Description: partial 16S ribosomal RNA
Rfam family: Bacterial small subunit ribosomal RNA
Source: RNAcentral
GACGAACGCUGGCGGCGUGCUUAACACAUGCAAGUCGAACGGUAAGGCCCUUCGGGGUACACGAGUGGCGAACGGGUGAGUAACACGUGGGUGAUCUGCCCUGCACUUCGGGAUAAGCCUGGGAAACUGGGUCUAAUACCGGAUAGGACCACUGCCUGCAUGGGUGGUGGUGGAAAGCUUUUGCGGUGUGGGAUGGGCCCGCGGCCUAUCAGCUUGUUGGUGGGGUGAUGGCCUACCAAGGCGACGACGGGUAGCCGGCCGGGGAGGGUGACCGGCCACACUGGAACUGAGCUACGGCCCAGCCACCGACGGGAGGCAGCAGUGGGUAAUAUUGCACAAUGGCCGCAGGCCUGAUGCAGCGACGCCGCGUGAGGGAUGACGGCCUUCGGGUUGUAAACCUCUUUCAGCACCGACGAAGCGCAAGUGACGGUAGGUGCAGAAGAAGGACCGGCCAACUACGUGCCAGCCGCCGCAGUAA